Helianthus annuus (common sunflower) is the source of this 487-nucleotide long non-coding RNA. RefSeq lists it as uncharacterized. NCBI's taxonomy places the organism in Eukaryota, Viridiplantae, Streptophyta, Magnoliopsida, Asterales, Asteraceae. The transcript is spliced from 3 exons. The record is from RefSeq and is a predicted model, not a curated record.
ACACACACAAGGGUGUGUGUUCUAGAUCGACCUCCAGGAGACAAAAAGGGGUGAAAACCCUAGCUCCACCAAAUCUUCAAAUUGAAGGAUCAAUCGAAGGCCAAUUUCGGAUUUGAAUGUAUAUAAACGAUCACCAAGUCAAGGGGAUCGUCAGUUUGACGCCUAACGAGCUAGAUGGAAGCUUGUGGAUGAAGCGGGUCAAACGGAGCAAGUACGGAAAGAAAACGUGGCAUGGAUGCAAGGUGAAUGUCAGGAGUACCGGAUGAAGGUCAAGCGAAGUGCAAGAACCGAACACAUGGAAAAGAAGCUUCCGCACGUUGCCUCGUCGUUAUUUUGAAACGACGAACUCAAUUACAUCAUGUAGUAUUAUUUUUGUAAAUUGUAAAAGUUUUAGUUCAACCGUGUUUUUAAUAUAUAUGUAAUCAUAAUUACCUUUUUAUUUUCGUAAAUUCUACGAAAACCGUAAAAUAAUAGCAAGGGUGUUACA